RNAcentral lists this ribosomal RNA (465 nucleotides) under uncultured bacterium. Its description in RNAcentral is "partial 16S ribosomal RNA". It matches the Rfam family "Bacterial small subunit ribosomal RNA", at positions 28 to 507 of the family's 1533-position model. The record is from RNAcentral.
GACGAACGCUGGCGGCGUGCUUAACACAUGCAAGUCGAACGGAAAGGCCCCUUUUGGGGUACUCGAGUGGCGAACGGGGGAGUAACACGUGAGUAACCUGCCCUUGACUUCCGGAUAACUUCAGGAAACUGGGGCUAAUACCUGGUAGGAAUCCUUGCUGCAUUGUGGGUGUGGGAAAGCUUCGGCGGUUUUGGAUGGACUCGCGGCUUAUCAGCUUGUUGGUGGGGUAGUGGCUUACCAAGGCUUUGACGGGUAGCCGGCGUGGGAGGGCGACCGGCAACAUUGGGACUGAGACACGGCCAAGACUCCUACGGGAGGCAGCAGUGGGGAAUAUUGCACAAUGGGCGGAAGCCUGAUGCAGCAACGCCGCGUGCGGGAUGACGGCCUUCGGGUUGGAAACCGAUUUCAGCAGGGGCGAAGCUUGUGGUGACGGUACCUGCAGAAGAAGCACCGGCUAACUACGUG